GGUCCAGUAGCUCAGUGGAUAGAGCGGCCGCCUCCUAAGCGGCAGGUCGAUGGUUCGAUUCCAUUCUGGAUCA
RNAcentral lists this transfer RNA (73 nucleotides) under Spirochaetia bacterium. RNAcentral's name for it is "tRNA-Arg". It matches the Rfam family "tRNA". From Rfam's summary of the family: Transfer RNA (tRNA) molecules are approximately 80 nucleotides in length. Their secondary structure includes four short double-helical elements and three loops (D, anti-codon, and T loops). Further hydrogen bonds mediate the characteristic L-shaped molecular structure. tRNAs have two regions of fundamental functional importance: the anti-codon, which is responsible for specific mRNA codon recognition, and the 3' end, to which the tRNAs corresponding amino acid is attached (by aminoacyl-tRNA synthetases). tRNAs cope with the degeneracy of the genetic code in two manners: having more than one tRNA (with a specific anti-codon) for a particular amino acid; and 'wobble' base-pairing, i.e. permitting non-standard base-pairing at the 3rd anti-codon position. Lineage: Bacteria; Pseudomonadati; Spirochaetota; Spirochaetia. The record is from RNAcentral. RNAcentral also lists the same sequence under 2 other names.